GUUUUAGAAUAAGAAAAAAAAAAUAUAGUUAAAAUGUUGUUUUGAGAAAAUUACGUAAUUUUGAAGAAUUGUCAAUAUGCUGGAUUCGAAUUCUUACAUGAUAGAUCUAGACUUAAAAAUGGAAGGGAAUGUAUCAGGAUCCAGUUGAAAAUGGAAUGGAAUGUAUCCGGAUCCAGUUGAAAAUGGAAUGGAAUGUAUCAGGAUCCAGUUGAAAAUGGAAGGGAAUGGAUCCGCUUAAAAUUAAAAUUGAAUGUAUCCGAUUAUGGUUGAAAAUUUAAUGGACAGGAUCCGGAUCCACUUGAAUAUGUAAAACGGGUGCUGUUUAGUCUGAAGCAAACUUAUUUGAACGGAGAAUUGUAUUCUGGAGAUCUAGCUAAGUAUAGUUCUUCUGCUUGUUGGGUCCAUCAAGAUAUACCUCCAGGGACAACUGUACAGUUUGAUGCCAGGCACGGCAAGGGCAUUAGCUUCCAGGCUAUUUAUGUAUUUAUUGGAGCUCGGCCCAACCAUGUCCGUCCAACCUAUAUUCCUGGUGGAUCUGGAACAGUCCUGGACAAAAAAUAUCGUCGACUCUUCCUUUCACGUGGAGAAGCAAAGAUGGCGCCGGCGGAAUUCAAGAAAACAUUCUACUUUUUUGAUCUAGGUUUACCCGAGUGUUUGGGCAAUGAUUUAAAAAGAAUUAAAGCGCUUAAGGGGAUAGUCUUCUAGAAUGUUUAAAUAACUGCUUACAAUUAAAGGGAUUGCAACUAAGUAAUGUCGUUUUUAUUUAUAGCAAAUCCUUGUAAUAUGUUGUUGCUUAUCACUCUCGUCAAUUGUUAUUUAUUAAUUGUAUAAUUUAUAUUGUGUAACAGUUUGUCUUCCAUGAUUUUGUUUUGCAAAAGCACUUGUACAGUAAACGCAAUUUCAAGUUACAUUCCAUUAAUAGGUUCCAAUUCAUUUUGAUGUGGAACUUUAAAAAAUAUGUUUAUUUUUUUUCGCUUAUUUUAUGCUAAAACUCGAUAAAUCUGAAGAGAUGAAAAUUUUUAAUAAAUUCUCUUUUUUUAAAUUUUAGAUUUGGGGGAAUUGAGCAAUUUGUGGGGUUUUUUUCAGGUUUUUAUUGUUAUUUUGUUCCUCGGAUCGAUCCGUGAUUUCACGUAUUUUGCGUUUGCGGAUGAAGUACGUAGGCACUCCGUCGAUUGUCAUUAAUGAUCAGACAAACGUUUAAAGGGCACCGUUGUGAAUCGGACACAGGGGCGUACGAGGGGGGCCGAGCCCCCCCCCCCCUUUAAUAUUACAU
This is a long non-coding RNA of Eurytemora carolleeae, 1273 nucleotides long. RefSeq lists it as uncharacterized. The transcript has 3 exons. Lineage: Eukaryota; Metazoa; Arthropoda; Copepoda; Calanoida; Temoridae. The record is from RefSeq and is a predicted model, not a curated record.